This 21-nucleotide non-coding RNA is filed under the name Rattus norvegicus (Norway rat). The record is from RNAcentral. Lineage: Eukaryota; Metazoa; Chordata; Mammalia; Rodentia; Muridae.
UAUGGCUUCCUGUGUCUCUUG